This 168-nucleotide non-coding RNA is filed under the name Turneriella parva. The record is from RNAcentral. Lineage: Bacteria; Pseudomonadati; Spirochaetota; Leptospiria; Leptospirales; Leptospiraceae.
GCGAUACGUAACGUAAGCGAUGCGUAAGUUACGCAUCGCAAAAAAAGAGGAAGUCCGGUGAAAAUCCGGCGCUGACCCGCAACCGUAAUGGAUAAUCUUGUUUGGGGCCGCAGGCCCCAAACAAGAUUAUCCUAAGUCGGGAACUCUUGUUGCUGCACCCCGAGGACA